This 73-nucleotide transfer RNA is filed under the name Ixodes scapularis (black-legged tick). It matches the Rfam family "tRNA". Rfam says of the family: Transfer RNA (tRNA) molecules are approximately 80 nucleotides in length. The record is from Rfam by way of RNAcentral. Lineage: Eukaryota; Metazoa; Arthropoda; Arachnida; Ixodida; Ixodidae.
CCCUGGUUGGCUCAUUUGGUAGAGGGCUCCACCGGGAAUGGAGAGGUCCCGGGUUUGACACCCGGACCAGGGG